Molecule: ribosomal RNA, 447 nt
Filed under: uncultured bacterium
Lineage: Bacteria
Description: bacterial SSU rRNA
Rfam family: Bacterial small subunit ribosomal RNA
Source: RNAcentral
CGCCAGACUCCUACGGGAGGCAGCAGUGGGGAAUAUUGCACAAUGGGGGAAACCCUGAUGCAGCGACGCCGCGCGAGUGAAGAAGUAUUUCGGUAUGUAAAGCUCUCUCAGCAGGGAAGAAAAUGACGGUACCUGAUUAAGAAGCCCCGGCUAACUACGUGCCAGCAGCCGCGGUAAUACGUAGGGGGCAAGCGUUAUCCGGAUUUACUGGGUGUAAAGGGAGCGUAGACGGUGAUGCAAGUCAGAAGUGAAAGCCCGGGGCUCAACUCCGGGACUGCUUUUGAAACUGUGUGACUGGAGUGCAGGAGAGGUAAGCGGAAUUCCUGGUGUAGCGGUGAAAUGCGUAGAUAUCAGGAGGGACACCAGUGGCGAAGGCGGCUUACUGGACUGUAACUGACGUUGAGGCUCGAAAGCGUGGGGAGCAAACAGGAUUAGAUACCCUCGUAC